AAUGAACGCUGGCGGCAGGCCUAACACAUGCAAGUCGAACGAGUGGCGGACGGGUGAGUAAUAUCUGGACAACUGCCCUAUAGAGGGGGAUAAAUACUGGGAACGGGAGGUAAUACCGCGUACCGUUGGAUGUGCUAGGAGGAGAUUAGCUAGAAGGGGGGGUAACGGCUAACAUAGGUGACGAUCCCUAGCUGGUCUGAGAGGAUGACCAGCCACACUGGAACUGAGACACGGUCCAGACUCCUACGGGAGGCAGAAGUGGGGAAUAUUGCACAAUGGGCGCAAGCCUGAUGCAGCCAUGCCGCGUGUAUGAAGAAGGCCUUCGGGUCGUAAAGUACUUUCAUCGAGGAGGCGGUACUCGCAGAAGAAGCACCGGCUAACUCCGUGCCAGCAGCCGCGGUAAUAC
This 406-nucleotide ribosomal RNA is filed under the name uncultured bacterium. RNAcentral's name for it is "partial 16S ribosomal RNA". It matches the Rfam family "Bacterial small subunit ribosomal RNA", at positions 29 to 526 of the family's 1533-position model. The record is from RNAcentral.